GGAGAAACCUCACGAAAAACAGCUCGUUCAAGUGAAUCAUAAUUUUCCAUUAAAAAAAAUAAUUUUCUUUCGCCUCGGAAUGAUGCAACGUUGUUACGGUCGGUCUCACACAUGACCCUCGACAAGUUAUGGAACUCUAUUAUAGUAAAAUUCAACGUUGGCAGUAGAAACGGGUCUCUCGUGGACAUUGGACAUUUCAGGAACUACGUGCUGGCAAAUAAAGUGUCAAUGGAGGAACAAUUCUCUCGAGAACUUUUAUUUCGUGUACUUUUCUAAUAAAUAAAUUUACGAACUGUC
Bombus pyrosoma is the source of this 297-nucleotide long non-coding RNA. RefSeq lists it as uncharacterized. The record is from RefSeq and is a predicted model, not a curated record. Lineage: Eukaryota; Metazoa; Arthropoda; Insecta; Hymenoptera; Apidae. The transcript is spliced from 2 exons.